RNAcentral lists this transfer RNA (77 nucleotides) under Serratia fonticola. Its description in RNAcentral is "tRNA-Asn". It matches the Rfam family "tRNA". Rfam says of the family: Transfer RNA (tRNA) molecules are approximately 80 nucleotides in length. Their secondary structure includes four short double-helical elements and three loops (D, anti-codon, and T loops). Lineage: Bacteria; Pseudomonadati; Pseudomonadota; Gammaproteobacteria; Enterobacterales; Yersiniaceae. The record is from RNAcentral.
GGUGAGGAAGCACAUGUGGCAUGUGCGCUCGGCUGUUAACCGAAAGGCAUAGGGUUCGAAUCCCUAACUCACCGCCA